Molecule: long non-coding RNA, 345 nt
Filed under: Ananas comosus (pineapple)
Lineage: Eukaryota; Viridiplantae; Streptophyta; Magnoliopsida; Poales; Bromeliaceae
Description: long non-coding RNA (ACOM_LNC033859)
Source: RNAcentral
AAACUUCAAAUACCACCUAUGUGGUUUCGCACUCUCUCACUUUAGUGUCCUGUAGUUUAAAGUGUAUCAAGUUAGUGUCAUGUGGUUUCAUUUUUAUUUUUUCAUCAGCUUUUCCGUUAAUAUUUUAUUAAAUUAUAUAUAAAAAACUUAAAAUAUCCCACCUAGAUUUAUCGAAUAUUUACUUUAGUACCCUUUAGUUUUAACUUUGUCACUGAUUUAAUGAAAAAAAUUAGUGGAAUCAAUAAUAAAAAGAUAAAAAUAAAAUUAUAGGACACUAAAUUGAUACACCUUAAAUCACAGAAUACUAAAGUAAAAAAAUAUAAAAUUACGGGGGGUGGUAUUUAA